ACGAACGCUGGCGGCGUGCUUAACACAUGCAAGUCGAACGGAAAGGCCCUGCUUUUGUGGGGUGCCCGAGUGGCGAACGGGUGAGUAACACGUGAGUAACCUGCCCUUGACUUUGGGAUAACUUCAGGAAACUGGGGCUAAUACCGGAUAGGAGCUCCUGCUGCAUGGUGGGGGUUGGAAAGUUUCGGCGGUUGGGGAUGGACUCGCGGCUUAUCAGCUUGUUGGUGGGGUAGUGGCUUACCAAGGCUUUGACGGGUAGCCGGCCUGAGAGGGUGACCGACCACAUUGGGACUGAGAUACGGCCCAGACUCCUACGGGAGGCAGCAGUGGGGAAUAUUGCACAAUGGGCGGAAGCCUGAUGCAGCAACGCCGCGUGCGGGAUGACGGCCUUCGGGUUGUAAACCGCUUUCGCCUGUGACGAAGCGUGAGUGACGGUAAUGGGUAAAGAAGCACCGGCUAACUACGUG
Molecule: ribosomal RNA, 467 nt
Filed under: uncultured bacterium
Lineage: Bacteria
Description: partial 16S ribosomal RNA
Rfam family: Bacterial small subunit ribosomal RNA
Source: RNAcentral